RNAcentral lists this ribosomal RNA (253 nucleotides) under uncultured bacterium. RNAcentral describes it as "partial 16S ribosomal RNA". It matches the Rfam family "Bacterial small subunit ribosomal RNA", at positions 524 to 776 of the family's 1533-position model. The record is from RNAcentral.
UACAGAGGUGGCAAGCGUUGUUCGGAAUUACUGGGCGUAAAGGGCGCGUAGGCGGCCCGUCAAGUCCCGUGUGAAAGCCCCCGGCUCAGCCGGGGAACGGCGCGGGAAACUAGCAGGCUUGAGUUCGGGAGAGGGAAGCGGAAUUCCGGGUGUAGCGGUGAAAUGCGCAGAUAUCCGGAGGAACACCGGUGGCGAAGGCGGCUUCCUGGACCGACACUGACGCUGAGGCGCGAAAGCGUGGGGAGCAAACAGG